This 493-nucleotide ribosomal RNA is filed under the name uncultured bacterium. RNAcentral describes it as "bacterial SSU rRNA". It matches the Rfam family "Bacterial small subunit ribosomal RNA", at positions 899 to 1397 of the family's 1533-position model. The record is from RNAcentral.
ACUCAAAGGAAUAGACGGGAUCCCGCACAAGCAGUGGAGUAUGUGGUUUAAUUCGAAGCAACGCGAAGAACCUUACCAGGACUUGACAUCCAAAGAAGACGGCGUAAUGGCUGUUGUGCCCUUCGGGGAACUUUGAGACAGGUGGUGCAUGGUUGUCGUCAGCUCGUGUCGUGAGAUGUUGGGUUAAGUCCCGCAACGAGCGCAACCCUUACCUUUAGUUGCUACGCAAGAGCACUCUAGAGGGACUGCCGUUGACAAAACGGAGGAAGGUGGGGACGACGUCAAAUCAUCAUGCCCCUUACGUUCUGGGCUACACACGUACUACAAUGGCGCAAACAAAGGGAAGCGAAGUCGCGAGAUGGAGCAAACCCCAAAAAGGCGUCCCAGUUCGGACUGCAGGCUGCAACCCGCCUGCACGAAGUUGGAAUUGCUAGUAAUCGUAGGUCAGCAUACUACGGUGAAUACGUUCCCGGGAUUUGUACACACCGCCCGU